This 425-nucleotide ribosomal RNA is filed under the name uncultured bacterium. RNAcentral describes it as "bacterial SSU rRNA". It matches the Rfam family "Bacterial small subunit ribosomal RNA", at positions 354 to 796 of the family's 1533-position model. The record is from RNAcentral.
GUGGGGAAUAUUGGACAAUGGGCGCAAGCCUGAUCCAGCCAUGCCGCGUGAGUGAUGACGGCCUUAGGGUUGUAAAGCUCUUUCGACGGGGACGAUAAUGACGGUACCCGUAGAAGAAGCCCCGGCUAACUUCGUGCCAGCAGCCGCGGUAAUACGAAGGGGGCUAGCGUUGUUCGGAAUCACUGGGCGUAAAGCGCACGUAGGCGGAUUGUUAAGUCGGGGGUGAAAUCCUGAGGCUCAACCUCAGAACUGCCUCCGAUACUGGCAAUCUCGAGUUCGGAAGAGGUUGGUGGAACAGCUAGUGUAGAGGUGAAAUUCGUAGAUAUUAGCUAGAACACCAGUGGCGAAGGCGGCCAACUGGUCCGACACUGACGCUGAGGUGCGAAAGCGUGGGGAGCAAACAGGAUUAGAAACCCGGGUAGUCC